AUACGAGGGGUGCAAGCGUUAAUCGGAAUUACUGGGCGUAAAGCGUUCGUAGGCGGUUUGUUAAGCAAGAUGUGAAAGCCCUGGGCUCAACCUGGGAACUGCAUUUUGAACUGGCAAGCUAGAAUACUGUAGAGGGUGGUGGAAUUUCCAGUGUAGCGGUGAAAUGCGCAGAGAUUGGAAGGAACAUCAGUGGCGGAGGCGGCCACCUGGACAGAUCUUGACGCUGAGGAACGAAAGCGUGGGGAGCGAACAGGAUUAGAAACCCCGGUAGUCC
Molecule: ribosomal RNA, 274 nt
Filed under: uncultured bacterium
Lineage: Bacteria
Description: partial 16S ribosomal RNA
Rfam family: Bacterial small subunit ribosomal RNA
Source: RNAcentral